This 19-nucleotide unclassified non-coding RNA is filed under the name Mus musculus (house mouse). RNAcentral describes it as "oocyte_clustered_small_RNA48". The record is from RNAcentral. Lineage: Eukaryota; Metazoa; Chordata; Mammalia; Rodentia; Muridae.
UCAGGAUUGGGUCAGUUAG